Molecule: unclassified non-coding RNA, 343 nt
Filed under: soil metagenome
Description: partial contains 5.8S ribosomal RNA, internal transcribed spacer 2, and large subunit ribosomal RNA
Rfam family: 5.8S ribosomal RNA (bases 1-120)
Source: RNAcentral
GAUGAAGAACGCAGCGAAAUGCGAUAACUAAUGUGAAUUGCAGAAUUCAGUGAAUCAUCGAGUCUUUGAACGCACAUUGCGCCCCCUGGUAUUCCGGGGGGCAUGCCUGUCCGAGCGUCAUUGCUGCCCUCAAGCCCGGCUUGUGUGUUGGGCCCCGUCCCCCUCUCCGGGGGACGGGCCCGAAAGGCAGCGGCGGCACCGAGUCCGGUCCUCGAGCGUAUGGGGCUUUGUCACCCGCUCUGUAGGCCCGGCCGGCGCCAGCCGACAACCCAUCAUCCUUUUCAGGUUGACCUCGGAUCAGGUAGGGAUACCCGCUGAACUUAAGCAUAUCAAUAAGCGGAGA